GAGCCGAACUGGGAGAGGUUUAUUUAUGGGUCACUUAUGGGUCAACGAAAUCACAUGCCACAGACUGCUUUCCUGCAAAUUGGUUGGAAACCAGAGUGGGUAAGCACCGGUGGCCGAGUAGGCAGUUGAUUCAGGAGGCAGAGGGAGGGUCCCAGAGAGCCUCAGACAGGGCUCUACAGAAAGCACCCUGGCAGUUGGUUGCCAUCUGGAGGGCACUCAAAGGAGAGCAGGGAGGAGGGAAUGCAGACAGAAUGUUCUUUGGCCCACUUGACUCGGCUUAUCAGGGUGGCCAGGGGUUAACAGUGCUGGCUGUCUACGCGGCUCCCACUCACUUCACUCUGACUUUCUAGAUUCCUCCCUGUCUCCCAGGUGUUUUCCAAUCGCCCUGGUCUCUCAACUGGCAUUCUCUUUCAUAACUCUCGUACAGUUUCUCCAACCUGCACUAGCCUGCAUCAAAUUAGCAUUUUUCCAGUCUCUACUUCCCUAUUCUCUUUGCUCUUCCUACCCCUGGUAACCAACUCUCAGCUGUUGUGCAGCUGCGACCCAAGCCAUCGUGAAAUAACUCGUUGAUCUUUGUUGUCCACCCAUGAUGUGAAGGGCUCUGUGACGGACACCACAGAGGAUGGACAGACAUGUCUGUCACCUCCACUCAACAAGGACCUUAUCUUCUGUACCAGCCCAGCGCCUGACUUUUAGAAGAUGCUCGCUAUUUGCCGAGUGAAUGAAUAAAUGAACAAAGACAGAGGUGGGCAGAGAGGUGCAGCAACUUCUUCCAGUUGUAACAUCAUUCAGAAAAAAAUAAUUUUCAGAAAAUGAAUUCUCCAGGUUUCCAGCUUCCAGGAGAACCUGAGAAGCCACAGGUGGGAGACGGCUGCGUUUCCAUCGCCCGGGUCCCUGGAAGAGUAUGUGCAGCAGAGCUUCUACCCCCUCCCUCCACCAGAGAUCUACUGGAUACCCAAAUACUGACUCCAACAUGAUUCUGUGUGUCUGUGAGGAUAUGUCUGCAAGGGAGUACCAUGGGACUGAGUAAACGAGAUUGCCUUCACUCAUGGGCUUGGGCUUUACCCAAUCAUCUGAAGACCUGAGCAGAACACAAAGGUCAAGUAUGAGGGAGCUUCCACCUGCCUUUUAGCUGCCAUGUCGGCCUUCUCCUGCCUGGGAUUGGAACUUACACCACCAGUUUUCUCGGUCCUCAGGAUUUCAGAUGUGGAGUAGAACUGACAACAUCGGCUCCCACAGCCCUCAGAUGGAAUGGAGCCACACCCUUAGCUCUCCUAGGUCUCCAGCUUGCCUAUUGCAGAUCUUGAAACUUAUCGGUCCCCCUAUAUGUAAUCCUAUUCCUCACAAUAAAUCACUUUCCAUUUAUGUACAUUUUAUUUGUUUUGCAUUUUAUACUUGGUCCUCAAUAUUCAUGGGUUCCACAUUUAUGAAUUUAACCACGCAUGCAGUGAAAAUAUUUGGAGAGAAAUUGUACCCAUAUUGAACAUGCACAAACAUUUUUCACUUGUCAUUAUUCCCUAAAUGAUAUAGUCUAAUAACUAUUUACAUAGUAUUCACAUUGCAUUAUUAUUAUAACUAAUCUAUGCAUAGGUUAUAUUGUACAUACUACACCAUUUUAUAUUAGAGACUUGAGUAUCCAUGGAUUUUGAUAUCCGUGAGGGGUUCUGGAACCAAUCUCUGUGGAUUUUAAUGGACGACUGGAUGCACGCAAGGGUACUUCAAAAGGUUU
Molecule: long non-coding RNA, 1729 nt
Organism: Oryctolagus cuniculus (rabbit)
Lineage: Eukaryota; Metazoa; Chordata; Mammalia; Lagomorpha; Leporidae
Source: RefSeq, a predicted model, not a curated record